GCCUGUCAGCCCAUCCUGGGGUCUCGUUGUGUUCCAGGGGCACGAAAGGCCUCUCGGGUGCCAUCCCGGGAUCUGGAACGCCGGUGCCGAUCGGGCGCCGGUUUUCUGGUGUCGGCAGCCGAAAGCGAGGCGGGUUCUUGUCUUUCAGCCAUUUCUGGUCAGGGCUGUUUGCGGUGUUGUCCUGGGCUGUGCCGGCAGCCGGGCUCUCUAGCCAUCCAGUCUCAGGGACUGGGCCUUCAAGAUGCUGGGAAGAAGUUCUUACGUGUUGCAGCAGCUUCUCGUGUGGUUGCGCCGUCUCUGCUCGGUCGCGGCGGUGCCGCAGUCUCGUCAGGAGCCGUGACGUUGGGCUCCUUUUCCGUUUGGGGUUGCAGGAGCGGCUCCUCGCCUCGCUGCUGCCUCCCCGUAGAUUAUUGGGAUCGAUGCCCGUCUGGUCUCGGAGUGUCGUGUUCGUGGUGGAGCGUUUUUGGUGCUGUGGCAGUGGCGUGGUCUAUAAGGUUCUGCGGAGCGUCUGUCGGCCCGGGUGCGCGUUUGGCUCGGAGCUGCUCUGCCCGGACGCGUGGAGUCAGGGGAGGGUGGACGGAGCUCUGGCGGUCCCCAGUUAACCUGCUGACGCGUUGAAUUGCGUGGGCAGGGGCGGUGCGGUCAUCUGGGAUGGAGUAGCUGUGGGCAGGGGAGCGGAGGGUCCCCGCGCAGGCGUCCGAGAGCCUCCACGAGAGCUUGGGACGUUAUUGCGCGCCAGAAAGCAGACCUGUGGGCUGGUCAGGCUGUUGAUGGGCCGCUGGGUGACUUGUAGAAUCACCUCAUUUCAGGCGCAGAGGGACAACUUGGCACGGAAGAGCGACAGAGGAGGCGAGCUGUGCGCCUUAAGCAGGUGGGUCGGUGGGUGGUGCCAGAGGGAAGCUGUGCCGUGUGGCUCUCGCCAAGCUCGGUCGUUUCUCUGUUUCCUAGGUGCGAAGCGAAGAGGAAAGCGGGCUGUCGGCAGCGAAGCUCCUCGGGCAAGGCGGCAGCUGAGCGUCUCGGCGGUCCGCGGCGUGGCAGUCAAAAGCAAGGGCGGCCGGGUGGGCGAGCGGCCCAGGUAAGGGAGGGCGAGCUGGGACCGUCUGCGGGCAGGCUGUGUUUUCGGGCGGCGUCCGAGAGCGUGCCUCUGGUUUUGCGGGUGCCGCAGACGAGCCGGAAGGGGCGAAGACGCACGCCGGCCGGCAGCCGAGAAGGUGAGGCGGCGGUGGGCGUUGAGGAGUCCGGUGUUGCCCGGUGUCUCGCUUCAGCGUUUCCUUCUCGCUUUGCAGGCGCUUUGUGGGCCCUUUGGACCGGGAGGAGCAUUUGCGGCGUCACCAGCGCUGAGGGUUUGUGACCGUGCCAGCGGCAGGACACGCCGACCGGACCGCCCUGGAACUCAGCAGGAGGCGCUGAAGAGGAACCCGGCGACGCGGGAAGACGGCCGUUGGCGCACGUGGCGUUUUCCUCUGCCGAAGAUGGGUUCCGUCCCUCGGCCCUCUGAAAGCUAAGUGGAGGCGCGAGGGCUGGGAAGGGGCUGGGAAUCGCAGGGACGGGGGAUUUAGCUGUGCUAAUGGCAAGGGCCGUCUAGGAACCGUGCCCUUGGCGUGGGUGAAGGGCCCGGGGACCUUUACCGUGCGAUGCCAGCGUGUGCCGGGCAGGGCAGCUCCAGCCUGCGUCUGCGUUGUGGUGUAGUUCGGGAAGCCUGCCUUGCGCCUGUCAGCCGAUCCCGGGGUCUCGUUGCGUUCGAGGGGCACGGAAGGCCUCUCGGGUGCCAUCCUGGGAUCUGGAACGCCGGUGCCGAUUGGGCGCUGGUUUUCUGGUAUCGGCAGCGAAAAGCGUGGCGGGUUCCUGCCUUUCGGCCAUUUCUGGUCAGGGCUGUUUGUGGCGUUGUCCUGGGCUGUGCCGGCAGCUGUGCUUUCUCCCCAUCCAGUCUCAGGGACUGGAACUUCAAGAUGCUGGGAAGAAGUUCUUAGGUUUUUCAUCAGCUUCUCGUUUGGUUGCGACGUCUCUGCUCGGUUGUGGCGGUGCCGCCGUCUCGUCAGGAACCGUGACGUUGGGCUCCUUUUCCGUUUGAGGUUGCAGGAGAGGCUCCUCGCCUCCCCGUAGGUUAUUGGGAUCGAUGCUCUUGUGGUCUCGGAGCGUCGUGUUUGUCGUGGAGAGUUCUUGGUGCUGUGGCCGU
Long non-coding RNA from Columba livia (rock pigeon), 2176 nucleotides. RefSeq lists it as uncharacterized. The transcript has 4 exons. Lineage: Eukaryota; Metazoa; Chordata; Aves; Columbiformes; Columbidae. The record is from RefSeq and is a predicted model, not a curated record.